GACGAACGCUGGCGGCGUGCCUAAUACAUGCAAGUCGAACGAGUGGCGGACGGGUGAGUAACACGUGGGAACCUACCCAUUAGAGGGGGAUAACACUUGGAAACAGGUGCUAAUACCGCAUACCAUCGGUUGUGCCCAGAGGGGAUUAGGUAGUGGGGGGGGUAACGGCUCACCUAGGCGACGAUCCCUAGCUGGUCUGAGAGGAUGACCAGCCAGACGGGAACCGAGACACGGUCCAGACUCCUACGGGAGGCAGCAGUGGGGAAUAUUGCACAAUGGGCGCAAUCCUGAUGCAGCCAUGCUGCGUGUAUGAAGAGGGCCUUCGGGUUGUAAAGUACUUUCAGCGAGUAGGCGUUACUCGCAGAAGAAGCACCGGCUAACUCCGUGCCAGCCGCCGCGGUAAUAC
RNAcentral lists this ribosomal RNA (406 nucleotides) under uncultured bacterium. RNAcentral describes it as "partial 16S ribosomal RNA". It matches the Rfam family "Bacterial small subunit ribosomal RNA", at positions 28 to 526 of the family's 1533-position model. The record is from RNAcentral.